Molecule: long non-coding RNA, 2715 nt
Organism: Oryzias latipes (Japanese medaka)
Lineage: Eukaryota; Metazoa; Chordata; Actinopteri; Beloniformes; Adrianichthyidae
Source: RefSeq, a predicted model, not a curated record
AUCAUGUUCUUGAUAAUCCUCUUUUUUUUCCGUUUUCUGUAGUUAUUUAAGUUAUUUAAGUUAUUAACUGGCCAAUCAGAUGAAUCAAUAAAAGUAGGUGGCGCCCGCUGGCCCCCCACAUCCAACAAUCAAAUCGUUUGAUUGCCAGUUUUCUUGUAAGCUGCUUCAAGCUCACUCCUGAUCUGUGAGAGUGGUUGUCAUAGAGACGUUGACUUACACAAAACUCGGACGAAUCCCUGCUUACGGACGAUGUCUGGCUCCAACAUAACAGCGUCAAAAACGGCGACCGAAUGGACUGCAUUUGGUCAUUUUCGAUGGGUGACAUCACACUCACUGGGUCCUGUUCUCAUAUACAGUCAAUGGUCAAAACCUGGAACUUAGAAAUUCGUGUUGUCCCUGCUGAAGACACAGCCAAUCACCAGUCAAAGCAGGUUCCUUUAGGGCAGUCAUGAUAACAUGGGUUGUGGAAUUGCAUUUCAUGAGUUGAAUGCUAAAAAAAUGCAAAUGUUGGAACAAAUGGAGAUGAAGUCUUUCAUGAAUGAUGAAAUGAAACUCCUGUUUGUUAUUGCAAACUGAAGCUCAGCAAACAGGUUUUUCAGGGGUUCUGCAGAGUCUGGCUCCAACCUGAUGUGGAUCCCUUGGGUGGGGGGGUCCUGAGGAUCCACUUCCUGUGGGAUCGAUGCACUUUGCUCAGAUUUUUGUGAAGAUUUUCUGAUGAUUGCAGCAAUUGAACAUUUUCGACUGGCAUUGUAACACCUGAAUACUCCAUUGAAACAUAAAGAGGAGUGCUAUUCCGCUCAUCUGUCCGUCGUUUCAGCAGUGUUGCUUUUUCUUCCAGCUACGUUCCCCCCCUUUGUUCUACUGUCAGACACCAGCUGCACCUCUCAGCUUAUUAUCACGGAAAGCAACGCUACUGAACAUGAAAUAAAUGGAGAAAUGUUUUCUGUACUACGCGUUUGUCUUCAUUUUAUCAAGCGUUACUGUCCACAGCUUGUGAUGAUUCGAUGUCAGCAAGGAGGGGGCUCAGAAACAGCCGUCAUCGCAGGUUAACCUGACAUGUUGCAUCAAGCUUGAGGUGACUGGGUGUUGUACUUCAAAAAUCAAUACAAACACACUGGAACCCUUUUUGUAAAAAAAAAUGUGCCAUGCUUUUGAAACUGCCUGUUUUUUACUGUAGGACUAAAGCUCUCAGCAGAAUGUCCUCCUGGUUAAAGACACAAUAUUUUCUCUGGACCUUCUUACUUUGGGCUUUACAUCAGUCCAGUUGCAAAACAUUUUUUUUAUUUUUACAAAUAUUGAUCACAUAUUAGACAUAUUUGUUUUUAAGGAUUAGUAUAGAAAAAAAUCAUAAAAAAAACUUUGCCUAGAAUAUUGUUCAAAUGUGAUAAAAAAUGAUCAAAAUCUAAGAUUUGUCAAAAUAAAAAGACAUAUCUGCUGAAGUCUACUUCACUUGAUGGUACCAUCUGGUUUCUGAAGGACCCAGCUGACUGGUGGACUUUAGUAAAGCCUUCUUUCUUGCCUUUUUAUCUAAAUUAAAUAAAAAACGGAAUUGUUCAGGAUUUAAAGGCAGUGUGUAUGGAAGCAUUUGCUCUCAGCUGUUUCUUUGGGUGUUUCCCGACUGGAAAAGUCUGUUUGUCCAAACCAAGUCUGCUUUAUCUGGUCCGGAUCAAGUCCUGAACCUUGCGCUUGGUCUGCAUUCAGUCUGCCGUCAAUCGGACUAUUCUGUUACGAACCAGAGCUUGUAAACGAAAGCAUGUGACUUAAGAUCUCUUCAGUCUUUGCUGUUGCUAUGGCUACACCAAUAACAGAACUCCGGAAAUUUCUUUAUCCUUAUAUGUUGCUGUUGCUUGAAGGGCGAGAGGCGCCGACAACCCCAAAGCGGGGUUAGGCGGGCGGCCGGGCAGGAAGGCUGCAGGGCCUUUCAGUGUGCAGCACAAAAUAAACAAGGGAACCGGAAAGCAAAAGCUGAAUCAAGCUGUAGCGUCAAGCAUCUGUCAGAGGGGAGAAAUCCCAAAAAGAUGCAGCAAAGAAGGAAAUCUUACAAACCUGGACGCUCAUCUUUCUUUCUGCCUUCCUGGGGAGGAAAAAGAAAGAAAGGAUGAUCUCGAAAAGAACAAGGGAGGAAAAUACGUAGAGAAAAGGAAGAGAAGGCGGAAGAAAGAGAGAGAACAGAACAGAGCGAGUCAUCUUGAGACUGCCAUCAUUGUCUAACCCAACACCUCCUGACAGUCUUCACACUUUGAAAUGAAAAACUUGCUUUUAUUCUCCGAAGACGCCCACUGGGAGCAGAUCCACGUCCCAGGCCAUAGCAGCUUUUAGGCUCUACGGUGAGAAUGAGUCCGCUGUCAGCCACAGGGACGUUUUAGGAUCCUCUUUUAAUAAAAUCACCAAGAUAACGUAGAAUAUAUCUGGAAGGUUGGGUUGACAUACUGAAGAGGGGUGAUUAUUUCAGCCUUCCAACCCAGGGAAGAAGUCAUUAACCUAAAUCUGAAGGUGUGAUAAAAAAGAAGAGACUUUGAAGUUGCACAUAAAUAACUGGCGUGGAUUAAUCCUGGAUGUUUGUGUUCAUGUUGGGCAGGAGCGUGCUGGAAACUGCUGGUUCUUCUAUCCUAUUCAAUCGGAUUCUUUUCAUUGGACUGUUCUAAAGCGACGGUUGAACAGUCCAUGUGGUCUCCUGUCCUGGCUUCCUGUCUGAAGUGAGAGGACCCUCCCGAU